GCCGAGAUAGCUCAAUGGCAGAGCAACGCUUUUGUAAAGCGAAGGUUGGGGGUUCGACUCCUCUUCUCGGCUCCA
This 75-nucleotide transfer RNA is filed under the name bacterium. RNAcentral's name for it is "tRNA-Thr". It matches the Rfam family "tRNA". Rfam says of the family: Transfer RNA (tRNA) molecules are approximately 80 nucleotides in length. Their secondary structure includes four short double-helical elements and three loops (D, anti-codon, and T loops). The record is from RNAcentral.